Phacochoerus africanus (Common warthog) is the source of this 3451-nucleotide RNA transcript. It is a transcript of the gene named DIS3 like 3'-5' exoribonuclease 2, with no coding region annotated. The transcript is spliced from 22 exons. The record is from RefSeq and is a predicted model, not a curated record. NCBI's taxonomy places the organism in Eukaryota, Metazoa, Chordata, Mammalia, Artiodactyla, Suidae.
UCCCUAGUAACUGAGGGACCGCGGCGGCGCCGGCCUCCCGGGAGCCACGUGACUCCCAACUUUGACCUCAGCGCAGACAUUGUCAGAGCACUAGAACAAGGACAGAGAAACUGUCACAUAUUGCUAGUGACAGCUGCGCUGCUCAAGGCAGGAAGAGCUCUGAGCUGAGCAGUGGAGGCCCUCCUGGAUCGGGACAGAAGAGGUUAUCUUGGAGCCAGUAAUGAGCCACCCCGACUACCGGCUGAACCUCCGGUCCCUGGGGACCCCCAGAGGUGUGUCCUCUUUGGUUGGUCCACAUGGUGUUGGUGCUUCGCCAGGUGACAAAAAGUCAAAGAACAAGAACACACGAGGGAAGAAAAAGAGCAUAUUUGAAACCUACAUGUCCAAGGAGGAUGUUUCAGAAGGCUUGAAGAGAGGGACACUCAUCCAGGGUGUAUUGAGAAUUAAUCCGAAGAAGUUUCAUGAAGCCUUCAUUCCUUCUCCGGAUGGCGAUCGAGACAUUUUUAUUGAUGGGGUUGUUGCUCGUAAUAGAGCCUUGAAUGGAGAUCUGGUGGUCGUGAAGCUGCUUCCAGAGGAGCAGUGGAAGGUAAUUAAACCAGAGAGCAAUGACAAAGAAACAGAAGGGGCCUAUGAAUCAGAUCUCCCCGAGGAGCUCUGUGGAAGCCAUCUCCUGCAGCAGUCUCUGAAAGGCUGUAAUGACAGUCCUGAUGUCAUUAUAGAGGCUCAGUUUGAUGACAGUGACUCAGAAGAUGGACAUGGCAACACACCAAAUUCCUUGGUUGAUGGUGUUAAGAAACUCUCAGUUUGUGUUCAUGAAAAAGGAAGAAGUUUCUGGCAUAUUCCCCAUGAAAGCCGAGAAGAAAUGCCAGGAGAUUUAAGGAGGAUGUUCCGCAGCCGCCCUGUGAUGGGGACCGGAAAAGAGGGUGCCGGUGCACCAGUUGCAAAAGACGAGAACACCUUCAUGUCCCAGGACGCAAGAGCCUCCCCAGAGAAGUCGCUGCAGAGAUCAGCAAAGGUGGUUUACAUCUUGGAGAAGAAACAUUCCCGUGCAGCAACUGGCUUCCUCAAACUCUUGGCUGAUAAGAACAGUGAGCUGUUCAGGAAAUAUGCCCUGUUUUCUCCCUCGGACCACCGAGUGCCUAGAAUUUAUGUGCCUCUCAAGGACUGUCCCCAGGAUUUUGUGACCCGGCCGAAAGAUUAUGCCAACACACUGUUCAUCUGCCGCAUCGUGGACUGGAAGGAAGACAGCAAUUUUGCCCUGGGGCAGCUGGCCAAGAGUCUCGGGCAGGCUGGUGAGAUCGAGCCUGAAACGGAAGGGAUCCUAACAGAGUACGGUGUGGAUUUCUCGGAUUUCCCUUCAGAGGUUUUAGAAUGCCUCCCGCAAGGCCUGCCUUGGACGAUUCCACCAGAGGAAUUCAGGAAGAGAAGAGAUUUGAGGAAAGACUGCAUCUUCACCAUUGACCCAUCAACUGCUCGAGACCUCGAUGACGCCCUCUCCUGCAAGUCCCUCGCUGAUGGCAACUUCGAAGUGGGAGUGCACAUCGCUGACGUCAGCUACUUUGUUCCCGAGGGAUCCAGCUUGGAUUCAGUGGCCGCUGAGAGAGCUACGAGUGUCUACUUGGUCCAGAAGGUGGUCCCCAUGCUUCCCAGGCUGCUUUGUGAGGAGCUGUGCAGCCUCAAUCCCAUGACUGACAAGCUGACCUUCUCUGUGAUCUGGACGCUAACUCCCAGAGGCAAGAUCCUCAGCGAAUGGUUUGGCCGGACCGUCAUCCACUCCUGCACCAAACUGAGCUAUGAACAUGCACAGAGCAUGAUCGAAAGCCCGACUAGGAAAAUCCCCGAGAAGGAACUGCCCCCCAUCUCCCCGGAGCACAGUGGCGAGGAGGUGCACCGCGCCGUCUUGACCCUCCACGGCAUCGCCAAGGAGCUGCGCAAACAGCGGUUCGCAGACGGCGCCCUGCGUUUGGAUCAGCUAAAGCUUGCUUUUACUCUGGACCACGAGACUGGGCUGCCUCAAGGAUGUCACAUCUAUGAGUACCGUGACAGCAACAAGCUCGUGGAGGAGUUCAUGCUCUUGGCCAACAUGGCCGUGGCCCACAAGAUCCACCGCGCCUUCCCCGAGCGAGCGCUGCUGCGCCGCCACCCGCCGCCGCAGACCAAGAUGCUCAACGACCUGAUGGAGUUCUGCGAGCAGCUGGGGCUGCCCAUGGACUUCAGCUCCGCGGGGGCCCUCAAUAAAAGUCUGACGGAAACAUUUGGAGACGACAAGUACUCCCUAGCCCGCAAGGAGGUGCUCACUAACAUGUGCUCGCGGCCCAUGCAGAUGGCCCUGUACUUCUGCGCGGGGACACUGCGGGACCCGGCGCAGUUCCGCCACUAUGCCCUCAACGUGCCACUCUACACGCACUUCACGUCGCCCAUCCGCCGCUUCGCCGACGUCAUGGUGCAUCGCCUCCUGGCCGCCGCGCUGGGCUACAGGGAGCCCCCAGAUAUGGAGCCCGAUGUCCUGCAGAAGCGGGCCGACCACUGCAACGACCGGCGCAUGGCGUCCAAGCGCGUGCAGGAGCUCAGCACCGGCCUCUUCUUCGCCAUCCUGGUCAAGGAGAGCGGCCCCCUGGAGUCGGAAGCCAUGGUGCUGGGCGUCCUGAACCAAGCCUUCGACGUGCUCGUGCUGCGCUACGGGGUCCAGAAGCGCAUCUACUGUAACGUGAGUGCGGGGGCUGCCGCCCAUGGUCAGGAAUGCUCUGAGCAGACAGAGGUUGGCUACAGGGCACAGGUGCCUGUCUACCCUGACCUGUAUGCCUGCACCACCAGGCUGCUGCCCCCCCCCCACCCCCAGACACACUGAGCUGUGUCCACUUAGCACGCUCCCACCUACCUGCCCUGUUCCCACUGCCGGCUCCCCUCCAGGUCUCCCCAGCAUGGGUGGGGUCUUGACCCAGGGACAGCUCUGGAUAGACACAAGCAGGCAGGAUGGGAGCACAGGCUGAGGCCCUGCUGUCCUUGUCCACGGUGGGGCAGUGCACCUGUCCCCUAGCUAUGGGCCAUACUGGCACCAUGUCUAUCCCAUGGGCCAGCUGCAGCUGCCCAGGGUCGGAGGUCCAGGCCAAGGGUCAGGCUUGGGCCUCUUUGCCAAGGACUCGAGUGACCAGAGAGCUGGUCCCUACAUGACCAGUGUAAGACGGCUGUGUAGGCUUUGGAAGGCUGCUUAUAGGAACAGGAGCGGGAGCAGGAGCCGGGAGAAUGGCCCGUGGCUGCUCUGCAAGCUGUGUCCCCUGAAAAGACGGAUGAGACUAAGGCCUCCUGCAGGGGCUCCUUAUUCAAGUCUCUUUCCAACUUGGUGCUUGUCUCAUGCCCCCCUGGGGGACCUGUUCCAGCUGACCUUGUGGCACUGCCCCUGCGCUCCCACCACUUCCAGAAGGUGGGCAAGAAGCCGGAGCUCACGCUCGUC